RNAcentral lists this long non-coding RNA (3682 nucleotides) under Pan troglodytes (chimpanzee). RNAcentral describes it as "long non-coding RNA NONPTRT005002". Lineage: Eukaryota; Metazoa; Chordata; Mammalia; Primates; Hominidae. The record is from RNAcentral.
CUGCGGCCGACGGCGGAAAACACCAAGGCACCCGGGGAGGGGGCGACCCGAUGUGGCGGGGAGGAGUAGGAGAGACCAGGAUUGGCGGGAGCGGUCCAAGGGAGUCAGCCGGGGAGGGCGAAAAGGGUGGGGAAAUCAGGGGCAUGGGGGCGUGGGGGCGUGGAGGCGUGGGGGCGGGGGGAGUGAGCGGAACCAAAGAAGCUCCGGGAGAUCCGGGUGUUAAAAGCUGGUUGGAUGUGAGUGGAAGGAACUCAGAAUAUAGGAGGAAGGAGACCCGAAACGGCACCGGAGGGAUUAUAAAAAAAAGGAAAAGAAUGGGGAUGAUGGUGGCCUUCCCUUCAGUGAGUGGGCUCUGGGAGAAAGGGAGGAGGAUCCAUCAGGCCUAGGCGGUUGAAGAAGGUUAAGAACCUUUUGGAGAUGGAGGAGGUAUGAUGUGAAGUAGCCCACCCCGUCGAAGGCAUUUACAUUGCUGGCGCAUUCCCUCCUCUUACCGGCCUUUUCCACCUCAGAUCCCCCUGUCCUACCCAUCCUAGCUUUAACUCAGCCAUAAUUGCCUUGCUUAAUCCCAGGAACCUGGCCACUGCUCCUUGGUCCUUGGCAUUAUGACGGGAUUCCCUUGUCACCUCUGACAGUUCCUGGCUGCGGUGUCCGCGGACUGGCUGGGGAGUGAUGACAGAAGGGAUGGAAACCCUAUUUUCUUUUCUCCAAGACCAUGGUUGGUCUGCUUCCCUCACUCGGGCUCCUUGACAGUCUUCUAGAAGAGAGGAGGAGGAAAAGAAGCAGUUCCUGAUGUUACAAAUGAACAAGGAUCUCCCAGAAAACAGGAAGAAUGUCAUGCACCGUGUGGAUCACCUUCAGUUCAAAGUUGCAGCAAAGUGAAGAAACUACUGGAAGCCACCCAGCAAUGCACUGUUUAGUCAUCAAUUAGGAGCCCAUGGGAGGAUAAUAGGGAGACUGGGUGGAGGCUCAGUGUGUAAUAAUCUCUUGUCUAAUGUAUGUGUGUCACUGCCAUGUUGUAUGAACAAUAGUGAGGGCUCACAUUUACUUAACACUUGUGUACUCAAAUCUGGGUUUUUCUUUCUUUCCAGAACUAUGACUCAAUCAUAAAAUCUGUUUUGUUUGCAUGCAUGCCCAAAACAACCCUAUAGGUAGAACAUUAUCAUUAUCUCUGUUUUAGAGAUGAGGAAACAGGCUCAGAGAAGCUCAGAAAUUUGUUCAAGAUCGCACAGCUAGUAAAUGGCAGAAGUAGGAUUGUGAACCCAGGGAAUCUCCAGAGCCUCUGUGUAACCAUGAUAUUAUAUUUUUUUCCUCUUUAAAAACAAAAUUAAAAACCUUGCUAUAAUCUCUUAUUAGGAAAAGAUCAUAGUUUCUGAUUGUGCUCUGCCUUCCCAUCCUGCCAAUCUCCUGGACUGGGUUGGAGAAGACAGGGGGCCCCCGAGCUUCAUCUGUGACUCAAAGGAGUUUGCUGCUGUCUCCUGUGUCAGUGUCCCAUCUAUGCAGGAUCAGCACAGGACCCCCCUCGCCUUCCUACUUACACUCUAGCCUUUCCAUACAUUGGCAUUCUCUCCUGGCCCUAGCCAGCGCUCCACACCUGUUGGUGUGCCACCUCCCUCCCUCUUCCCCCACUGGCCUUGAACAGGCAAACCCCCUAAUGUUGCCCCUAGGUUGGGUCCAUGACUAGGACACCUGCUAGACGGUCUGUGCUUGGGCCUUUUCUAGGAAUCCUGAUGUUACUGGGUAAGUGCCAACUCUGUGGGCAGAAUGCUAAUGAUAAUCCUGUUCCCUAACCUCUUUCUCAGAAGUACCCUGGCUCACUCUCCCCAAUCUCAGCUUUAUAGAACAACAUUUUGGUCUUGAUUAUUCCCAUAUCAAGCUGCCCCAGGGCUUCGGUAAGCUGUUAGUUGCCCCACUGCCUCAAGGCUGGGUCUGGCUGAGCUACUUUCUUAUGCACACAAAUAAUGGGUGUCUCCUUGGAACCUGACACAAAACUAUCAGUGCUACCAAGCCUUGUAAAAUAGGGAAGAAACUAAUAUUUCUUGAGUGGCUUCUGAGUGCCUGGUGCUUUCACGGCUCUCUGGAGAGAUUCCUUGCCCUGAUGCCUUUGGUGUGUACUCCUCUCCCAGGACUUCAGCACUGAGAUUUUCCCAACCCCCUGGCUUUUCCUCACCUUGGGUUGAGUUGAUCCGGCACUACCACAAACCCCAGCAUCUGCAAACCAACCAAGAUUAGGCAGUAUGCCCUUUCCGUCUUGCACUGCUCUUCCAAAACUUCCAUCUGUAUUUCUCACACCCUCAGUAAGCAAAGCUGAGUGUGCGUAGACAGAGCUGCAUCCACUGCUUUCUCCCAACGGGUGCAGUCUAAUCUGACACGGGGAACACUAGGAGUUUAGCGGAAUCUUCAGCCACCCUAUUAAUGUGUUACGCAUUAGGCAUUGUAGUGGAAACUACUCUGACGGCUCAUGAUUAUAUGAACAGGAGCAAUUUGGAAUAUAACAUGUCAGCCGUGGACUGGGAGGUGCCGUAAGAGAAAACACUACCAGGGUCAUAGGCUUGGGUCCUUGAGGCAACCUAGCAGGGACGCUGUUGCCCAUUCCUCUCAUCCAGACUGCAGGUAUCUUCCUACACCUCCCUGUCCCAUAGCCUCCGUCCUGUUUUUUGUUUGUUUGUUUUUCUUUGUGAAUGUAGAAAAACAUUUCAUCAUGAGCCCUAGCUCCUCAGUUUUCCACCUAACACCCACAUUCCCUUGUUUCUAACUGCCGUGUUUUUCUGGAGCCUGCUGGGAUCUUUGCAGUUUGCAGAUCAUAGAAUCAGACAUGAAAAGGCUUCUCUUCAGACGUCAUUGGUUCCUGGCUCCUUUACAGAUGAGAACACAGGCCCAGAGGUGAGAAAUGACUCUAGCAGGGUCAUAGAAUUUGUUAGUGCAGCUCAAGAUGGGACUUAAACUCAGGCCUCCUGAUCACAUCCCAUUCCCAGGCUAGGAAACAGGUCUCUGCUCGGUGUGGUGGUUCAUACCUGUAAUCGCAACACUUUGGGAGGCUGAGGCAGGAGCGUUGCUUGAGCCCAGGAGUUCGAGACCAGUCUGAGCAACAUAGUGGGACCCUGUCUCUACAAAAACUUUAAAAAUUAGCUGGGCAUGGUGGCACACAUCUGUAGUUCCAGCUACUCGGGAAGCUGAGACAGGAGGAUCGCUUGAGCCCAGGAGUUGGAGGUUACUGAGCUAUGAUCGCACCACUGCACUCCAGCUUGGUGACAGUGAGACCCUCAAAAAAAAAAAAAAAAAGAAAAGAAAGAGGUCUCUACACAAGCCCGUGAUUCUUCAUGGCAAGGGAUAACAUCAGAAAUGUUUUAUUUUCUGCUAUUAGUUUCCAUUCCUUUCCCCAUCCAGGCAUAAAGAGAAACAAAAGACAAUGAUGGUAUUCUCUGUGUCCUCAGCUUUGGCACUUUUGUUGAUGUUGCUAAGGAGCAGUGACCUUGCUAAAAAGACUGAAUAAUCCACCCACUGAAUAGCUAACCUGGGAAGGAAAUGAAAAUUUCCUAUGUGGAUCUCCCCAAAUCCAUUGUUGUCACCAGGCCCUCCCAGAGCCUCCUCAGUUCCUUCACAGUGCAACCCUGUGUACUUGGCCCGCAACCCAAUAGUAUUGUGCCUCACUUCGCCUUCCAUGGGCAACUGCCCUCCCUUCUGG